RNAcentral lists this ribosomal RNA (161 nucleotides) under uncultured bacterium. RNAcentral's name for it is "partial 16S ribosomal RNA". It matches the Rfam family "Bacterial small subunit ribosomal RNA", at positions 355 to 507 of the family's 1533-position model. The record is from RNAcentral.
CUAAGAAUCUUCCGCAAUGGGCGCAAGCCUGACGGAGCGACGCCGCGUGGACGAUGAAGGCCGUAAGGUUGUAAAGUCCUUUUCUCUAUGAGGAAUAAGGGUGGGAGUGGAAAGCCCAUCUGAUGACGGUAAUGGAGGAAUAAGCACCGGCUAACUACGUG